CACGGAGGAUGCGAGCGUCAUCCGGAUUUAUUGGGUUUAAAGGGUGCGUAGGCGGGCUGUUAAGUCAGCGGUCAAAUGUCGGGGCUCAACCCCGGCCUGCCGUUGAAACUGGCGGCCUCGAGUGGGCGAGAAGUAUGCGGAAUGCGUGGUGUAGCGGUGAAAUGCAUAGAUAUCACGCAGAACUCCGAUUGCGAGGGCAGCAUACCGGUGCACAACUGACGCUCAGGCACGAAAGCGUGGGUAUCGAACAGG
This 252-nucleotide ribosomal RNA is filed under the name uncultured bacterium. Its description in RNAcentral is "partial 16S ribosomal RNA". It matches the Rfam family "Bacterial small subunit ribosomal RNA", at positions 524 to 776 of the family's 1533-position model. The record is from RNAcentral.